GACAAGGAAGACACUAACACACACCAAAAUAGUCCAUGAUUUGAAGAACCGAGGACCCCUUUUGGUGACCCCUCUCGGAUUCACUACACAAUAACAAUACAAGUACGAUAACAACAAGAUUCUAAGAUGUUCAACACCUAUAAUCAGCGAGCCACAAACUAAGAUUACAACACAAUAACAAGAACAAAAAUGACACAACAAGAUCUCGGGUUUGGACACCCAAAACCAAGAAUGAACACAACAACAAUAAUAAGAUAGAAUGAUAGAUAACUUGACACACAAUGCACAAACACUAUGAACAAAAGUGUAUAUUGAACACUAAGACCCAAGAAUUCAUAUAAAUAACAUCAAGUUCUUACGGUGACAUCAAG
This 371-nucleotide long non-coding RNA is filed under the name Capsicum annuum. RNAcentral's name for it is "long non-coding RNA (CANN_LNC002166)". Lineage: Eukaryota; Viridiplantae; Streptophyta; Magnoliopsida; Solanales; Solanaceae. The record is from RNAcentral.